CUGAAGGAACAGAAGAAGCUCCCGCAGCACAUGGUGAUCUGAUAAGCUUGGUGUAGGAGGGACUUCUUUCUAUGUGUCGCUUUCAUUGGUUGAAGAAAGAAGACUGCCUUGGCCUUUUGAUAGGGCAAAACUUAGAUAGGCAGCACAGAAUGCUGGGAGAAAGGAGGCAGAGUCAGAGAGCCACUCGCCAUGAAGCUGCCAGGGUGUGCUCUAGAGAGAUUGCCUGAUUCAACAAUAACAGCAGAAAAAAAGCAACACCAUUUUAAAAUGUGGCUUCCUGGGCUGUGCUGCCAGCUUGAACUCCGGCUUUAAAGCAUUUCAAUGGCUUUUAUGAGACUGGAUGUUUUGUGCCUGCUCAGGAUCGGCAAGAAAGUACUCUGAGACUAAGCCAAUGGCUCCCCGCCUGGGCUGACGGUGGAAUCAGACUUAGGAAAGUGGGAGAGCAUGGCGGAUUCCCACCACCAUACACAGAGAUGUUUCCAGGCUGCGCAGUGCUCUGCAUGGCAGAUUUGACUGUAAUUCAGAAAGAAAGA
Myodes glareolus (Bank vole) is the source of this 533-nucleotide long non-coding RNA. RefSeq lists it as uncharacterized. The record is from RefSeq and is a predicted model, not a curated record. NCBI's taxonomy places the organism in Eukaryota, Metazoa, Chordata, Mammalia, Rodentia, Cricetidae.